This 780-nucleotide ribosomal RNA is filed under the name uncultured Neocallimastigales. Its description in RNAcentral is "partial large subunit ribosomal RNA". It matches the Rfam family "Eukaryotic large subunit ribosomal RNA", at positions 26 to 639 of the family's 3401-position model. Lineage: Eukaryota; Fungi; Neocallimastigomycota; Neocallimastigomycetes; Neocallimastigales. The record is from RNAcentral.
CGCAUCUGUGCAUGCAGCAUAUCAAUAAGCGGAGGAAAAGAAACUAACAAGGAUUCCCUUAGUAACGGCGAGUGAAGCGGGAAGAGCUCAAAUUUGAAAUCUUCAAGGUUUUACCUUGACGAAUUGUAGUUUAAAGAAGUGUUUUCUGUUGAAGUUUUUGGUAAAAGUUCUUUGGAAUAGGACAUCAUAGAGGGUGAGAAUCCCGUAUUUGACCAUUAUUUUCAGCUGUGUGAUACACUUUCAAAGAGUCGGAUUGUUUGGGAAUGCAGUCCAAAAUGGGUGGUAAAUUUCAUCUAAAGCUAAAUAUUGGCGAGAGACCGAUAGCGAACAAGUACCGUGAGGGAAAGAUGAAAAGAACUUUGAAAAGAGAGUUAAACAGUACGUGAAAUUGUCAAAAGGGAAGCGUUUGACACCAGUGUUGUUUUCUCGAAAAUCAAUUAAAAAGAGUUAGAUUUUGUUGUGUAUUGACCUUAGCAGCUUGCAUUUCAAUUUUCUUGCUUUUUUUAAUGCACUUUUCGUUUAACAAGUCAACAUCAGUUUCUUUUGUUGUAAAAAGGUCAUUGGAAGGUGGCUUUCUUUUCGGAGAAAGUGUUUAUAGCCUUUGACUCCUGCAAUCGGAGAGACUGAGGUCCUGCAGCGUAGAUCCUUCGGGGUUAGAUACAUUUGUGCUAAGCUACUAGCUUUUUCAUAGACAACUUGUUGUACUAUGAUUAGUCUUGUAGCUUACCUCGCUUAUGCUAUUUUACCUACGCUUAGGAUGUUGACGCGCGUGUGUGCGUG